RNAcentral lists this ribosomal RNA (245 nucleotides) under uncultured Eubacteriales bacterium. Its description in RNAcentral is "uncultured Clostridiales bacterium partial 16S ribosomal RNA". It matches the Rfam family "Bacterial small subunit ribosomal RNA", at positions 524 to 769 of the family's 1533-position model. The record is from RNAcentral. Lineage: Bacteria; Bacillati; Bacillota; Clostridia; Eubacteriales.
UACGUAGGGGGCAAGCGUUAUCCGGAAUUAUUGGGCGUAAAGCGUACGUAGGUGGUUUUCUAAGCGCUUGGUUUAAGGCUACGGCUUAACCGUAGUUCGCCUCGCGAACUGGAAGACUUGAGUACAGGAGGGGAAAGUGGAAUUCCUAGUGUAGCGGUGAAAUGCGUAGAUAUUAGGAGGAACACCGGUGGCGAAGGCGACUUUCUGGACUGUUACUGACACUGAGGUACGAAAGCGUGGGGAGC